Long non-coding RNA from Hippocampus comes (tiger tail seahorse), 1021 nucleotides. RefSeq lists it as uncharacterized. The record is from RefSeq and is a predicted model, not a curated record. The transcript has 2 exons. Lineage: Eukaryota; Metazoa; Chordata; Actinopteri; Syngnathiformes; Syngnathidae.
CCAGCCUGUAGCUCAGCUUGCUUUUCCUUAAACCCUGGAUGCACACUCGUGUCCAGCCAGGCGGCAGCUUAGCCUGGGAACACUGCAAGCAGUACCGAACGCGCCAGCUAGCGUCAAGCUACCAGCACCGAGUCGUCCCCGGCAUUGUGAGCGUGUUGUGACAUUUGACACCCCAAAACGAGGCAAGGACCGAAGGUUGACGAGUCUGCUGUAGGAAGCAGAUGCGCGUCAGCGACGAGACCGCGUCCAACUUGUUGGCGUUCCUGCUGGACGCGAGUCCGGAGACAUGUUUGGAGAAGAGGCGUGUCACGUGACACAACACCAGGCUAGCGUCUUGUGACUCACGUGACCAGAAAGAGGCGGCAAAGCGUUGGCCCGGUCCAAGAAAAAAACGAAACGAAACCGCGCUUAUGAUGAUGAUGUUGUCAGGGCUGGUUUGCUUCAUUUCUACCGAGAAUUCAAAGCGAGAAUUGUCCCUGCCUCCACGCCUUUACGGCAUUCGCUUCCUUUUUCUUUGGGUGGUCAGAAAGGGGAUGCGCGCAGUGUGGCCACCUCGACCCGCAAACGGACAUCGAUGAGCGGAAGCUCGAUGAACGGAGGCUGUCCACUGGAGAUGACAAGCUGCAAAAUUAAUCGUUUUGCAUGACUUAGUACGAUUUUGGCUGAAUUCAUUAUACUGUACAUCAAAUGCUAUACCUUGACUAAAGAUGUUGGCAUGGGACAGUGGAAUGAAUUACUAUUUAACACCAUGUUGAGUGGACGGAAGAUGUUCCAGUUGCAAAUCACCAAUUAAUUUAUGGGCCCCGAAUUACAUUACUAAGAGAUACUACACUCAAUCUUAACCAAAAAACCGGGAAAUUAUCGGACAACUUAAGUCCCGACACUACGAGCUACAGUGACGGUGACAAAUGUCAACUAACCACAACAAAACACAUUUAUAUGCCAAACAGCAACAUUUUAUGUAACAAUGAUGCCAAUUGUGUCGUUGUACAGCCCACAAAAUAAAACAAAUGUCGAGCAA